This 466-nucleotide ribosomal RNA is filed under the name uncultured bacterium. Its description in RNAcentral is "partial 16S ribosomal RNA". It matches the Rfam family "Bacterial small subunit ribosomal RNA", at positions 28 to 505 of the family's 1533-position model. The record is from RNAcentral.
GACGAACGCUGGCGGCGUGCUUAACACAUGCAAGUCGAACGGAAAGGCCCUGCUUUUGUGGGGUGCUCGAGUGGCGAACGGGUGAGUAACACGUGAGUAACCUGCCCUGCACGUUGGGAUAACUUCAGGAAACGGGGGCUAAUACCGGAUAGGAGCUCCUGCUGCAAGGGGGGGGUUGGAAAGUUUCGGCGGUUGGGGAUGGACUCGCGGCUUAUCAGCUGGUUGGUUGGGUAGUGGCUUACCAAGGCGUUGACGGGUAGCCGGCCUGAGAGGGUGACCGGCCACAUUGGGACUGAGAUACGGCCCAGACUCCUACGGGAGGAGGCAGUGGGGAAUAUUGGACAAUGGGCGGAAGCCUGAUGCAGCAAUGUCGCGUGGGGGAUGACGGCCUUCGGGUUGUAACAAGCUUUCGACUGUGACGAAGAGUAAGAGAGGGUAAGGGGUAAAGAAGCACGGGAGAACCACG